Molecule: transfer RNA, 89 nt
Filed under: Sphaerochaeta sp.
Lineage: Bacteria; Pseudomonadati; Spirochaetota; Spirochaetia; Spirochaetales; Sphaerochaetaceae
Description: tRNA-Pro
Rfam family: tRNA (bases 6-81)
About the family: Transfer RNA (tRNA) molecules are approximately 80 nucleotides in length. Their secondary structure includes four short double-helical elements and three loops (D, anti-codon, and T loops).
Source: RNAcentral
GCGUUGCCUAGUGGCUAAGGCGCUUGCUUUGGGAGCAAGANNACAGCCUUCUAAGCUGUGGGUCAGAGGUUCGAAUCCUCUUUGGCGUA